RNAcentral lists this small nuclear RNA (160 nucleotides) under Rhinopithecus bieti (black snub-nosed monkey). Its description in RNAcentral is "U1 spliceosomal RNA (ENSRBIG00000009203.1)". It matches the Rfam family "U1 spliceosomal RNA". From Rfam's summary of the family: U1 is a small nuclear RNA (snRNA) component of the spliceosome (involved in pre-mRNA splicing). Its 5' end forms complementary base pairs with the 5' splice junction, thus defining the 5' donor site of an intron. The record is from RNAcentral. Lineage: Eukaryota; Metazoa; Chordata; Mammalia; Primates; Cercopithecidae.
UUACUGGUAAGGUGGAGGAAUACGCAAAAUCAGCAAAGGUGGUUUCCCAGGGUGAGCUAUACACUCCAGGUGUGCUGAUCCCCUGCGAUUUCCCCAAAUGUGGGAAACUCGACUGCAUAAUUUGUGGUAGUGAGGAACUGGGUUCGUGCUCUACCCUGAA